UUGAACGCUGGCGGCAGGCCUCACACAUGCAAGUGGAGCGGAUGAAGGGAGCUUGCUCCUGGAUUCAGCGGCGGACGGGUGAGUAAUGCCUAGGAAUCUGCCUGGUAGUGGGGGAUAACGUCCGGAAACGGGCGCUAAUACCGCAUACGUCCUGAGGGAGAAAGUGGGGGAUCUUCGGACCUCACGCUAUCAGGUGAGCCUAGGUCGGAUUAGCUAGUUGGUGGGGUAAAGGCCUACCAAGGCGACGAUCCGUAACUGGUCUGAGAGGAUGAUCAGUCACACUGGAACUGAGACACGGUCCAGACUCCUACGGGAGGCAGCAGUGGGGAAUAUUGGACAAUGGGCGAAAGCCUGAUCCAGCCAUGCCGCGUGUGUGAAGAAGGUCUUCGGAUUGUAAAGCACUUUAAGUUGGGAGGAAGGGCAGUAAGUUAAUACCUUGCUGUUUUGACGUUACCAACAGAAUAAGCACCGGCUAACUUCGUG
RNAcentral lists this ribosomal RNA (483 nucleotides) under uncultured bacterium. Its description in RNAcentral is "partial 16S ribosomal RNA". It matches the Rfam family "Bacterial small subunit ribosomal RNA", at positions 30 to 507 of the family's 1533-position model. The record is from RNAcentral.